AAUUUUGGACAAUGGGCGCAAGCCUGAUCCAGCCAUGCCGCGUGUGUGAAGAAGGUCUUCGGAUUGUAAAGCACUUUACGUUGGGAGGAAGGGUCGUAGAUUAAUACUCUGCAAUUUUGACGUUACCACAAGAAUAAGCACCUGCUAACUUGGUGCCAGCAGCCGCGGUAAUACGUAGGGUGCCAGCGUUAAUCGGAAUUACUGGGCGUAAAGCGCGCGUAGGUGGUUUGUCAAGUUGGAAGUGAAAGCCCCGGGCUCAACCUGGGAACUGCUUUCAAAACUGGCAAGCUAGAGUAUGGCAGAGGGUGGUAGAAUUUCCUGUGUAGCGGUGAAAUGCGUAGAUAUAGGAAGGAACAUCAGUGGCGAAGGCGACCACCUGGACUGAUACUGACACUGAGGUGCGAAAGCGUGGGGAGCAAACAGG
RNAcentral lists this ribosomal RNA (424 nucleotides) under uncultured bacterium. RNAcentral describes it as "partial 16S ribosomal RNA". It matches the Rfam family "Bacterial small subunit ribosomal RNA", at positions 360 to 776 of the family's 1533-position model. The record is from RNAcentral.